AGCUAUUUAUGAUUGGAUGGCAUUAAGACAUUUUUAGUCUUCCUUAUAUAUGCUAGGUACUCAGUUGUUCCCAUAGUGUCUCAUUAGCCUGAUUUAUAAUCAAAUAUUAACUUUAAAAUUAAGAUUUAUAACAAGGUAUUUCAAUGUACAGUAGCUGUUAAUUGAGCCAAAUGUUUUGUAAUUCACCAGACUAAUAUGUGACAAAUGAUAUGCAAACAGGGAAAAUAUAGCCUUUAAUAAUCCCCAUGUAAGUGUCUUUAUAGUAUUAAGAUCCUAAAACAACAAAAAGACUUUUAUAAAAUCUCCGAAAGAAUCCCAGGACCACAGCCAAGGAUCUUCAGAAAUGUCUUAAUUAGCCAAAUUCAUUCCUUAGUACCAUUACACCUGCUUAAUAGCUGUGGCUUUCUUGGAGUGUACCAUGAGAAAAUAUACAUUUGUUCCUUCUUUUUUCACUGGUCAGACAUGGCUACAUGACUUAUAGUACCAUGAUUCAGUAUAGCUUUUACGCUGCUAGCCAGAGUACACCUGAUUGCUUCCACACGCAGUACUCUUUAGGAUCAGAGCAAAGAUAGAAUGGCAGAUAUACUUCUUUUCAGUUUUCACAGUCCAUUUCUCCCAAAAUAUUAUCCUGUUCUACACAAUAGGAUCAGUCAAAAACCGAAAAUGAGAGAGCAUUGUGUAACACUGGCUUUACACGUUAUAAAGUACAAUACAACUAAAAAUGAUUUCUCCUCAGGAAUGAUUGUACAAUUUUAUAUAAUUUCCAUAUGGGCCAUCUUUAGAAAGAACUAGCAGAAAAUAAUACAUUUGCCUUGCAGCUGUAAUUAGAAACUCUAAAAACAAAUGCGCAUUAUAUAAAAAUAAAGGUGUUAAGAUUAUCCAAAUUCCUGCUAUGGCAUAUGUACAUGUAAUAAAGGUAGCUUUUGACUCCAAGCACUCAUCAGUAACAGGCUAACAGUAGAAACA
Long non-coding RNA from Erpetoichthys calabaricus (reedfish), 966 nucleotides. RefSeq lists it as uncharacterized. The record is from RefSeq and is a predicted model, not a curated record. The transcript is spliced from 2 exons. NCBI's taxonomy places the organism in Eukaryota, Metazoa, Chordata, Cladistia, Polypteriformes, Polypteridae.